UGGAUGGGGGUGAAAGGCCAAUCAAACCGGGAGAUAGCUGGUUCUCCCCGAAAGCUAUUUAGGUAGCGCCUCGUGAACUCAUCUUCGGGGGUAGAGCACUGUUUCGACUAGGGGGUCAUCCCGACUUACCAACUCGAUGCAAACUGCGAAUACCGAAGAAUGUUAUCACGGGAGACACACGGCGGGUGCUAACGUCCGUCGUGAAGAGGGAAACAACCCAGACCGCCAGCUAAGGUCCCAAAGUCAUGGUUAAGUGGGAAACGAAGUGGGAAGGCUCAGACAGCCAGGAUGUUGGCUUAGAAGCAGCCAUCAUUUAAAGAAAGCGUAAUAGCUCACUGGUCGAGUCGGCCCGCGCGGAAGAUGUAACGGGGCUAAACCAUGCACCGAAGCUGCGGCAGCGAACGUAUCACUUAAAUUUGUUUGAGUGAAUAACGAUUGACGGAACGAAGUGACGUCAAUGCGUUAAUGAAAGUCGAGGCGAAAGCACGACAAAGCGAAUUUAAGGAUACGUUCGUUGGGUAGGGGAGCGUUCUGUAAGCCUGCGAAGGUGUACUGUGAGGUAUGCUGGAGGUAUCAGAAGUGCGAAUGCUGACAUAAGUAACGAUAAUGCGGGUGAAAAACCCGCACGCCGGAAGACCAAGGGUUCCUGUCCAACGUUAAUCGGGGCAGGGUGAGUCGACCCCUAAGGCGAGGCUGAAAAGCGUAGUCGAUGGGAAACGGGUUAAUAUUCCCGUACUGGUGGUAACUGCGAUGGGGGAACGGAGAAGGCUAGGUUGUCCGGGCGACGGUCGUCCCGGUUCAAGCAGGUAGGCAGAGUGAUUAGGCAAAUCCGGUCACUUAAUGCUGAGAUGUGAUGACGAACCACUAAGGUGGUGAAGCAAUUGAUGCCCCGCUUCCAGGAAAAGCCUCUAAGCUUCAGGUUACCAACAAUCGUACCCCAAACCGACACAGGUGGUCAGGUAGAGAAUACUCAGGCGCUUGAGAGAACUCGGGUGAAGGAACUAGGCAAAAUGGUGCCGUAACUUCGGGAGAAGGCACGCUGGCGGUAGGUAAAGUCCCUCGCGGACGGCGCUGAAGCCAGUCGAAGAUACCAGCUGGCUGCAACUGUUUAUUAAAAACACAGCACUGUGCAAACACGAAAGUGGACGUAUACGGUGUGACGCCUGCCCGGUGCUGGAAGGUUAAUUGAUGGGGUUAGCGUAAGCGAAGCUCCUGAUCGAAGCCCCAGUAAACGGCGGCCGUAACUAUAACGGUCCUAAGGUAGCGAAAUUCCUUGUCGG
RNAcentral lists this ribosomal RNA (1280 nucleotides) under Proteus mirabilis. RNAcentral describes it as "partial 23S ribosomal RNA". It matches the Rfam family "Bacterial large subunit ribosomal RNA", at positions 812 to 1975 of the family's 2925-position model. Lineage: Bacteria; Pseudomonadati; Pseudomonadota; Gammaproteobacteria; Enterobacterales; Morganellaceae. The record is from RNAcentral.